RNAcentral lists this unclassified non-coding RNA (244 nucleotides) under plant metagenome. Its description in RNAcentral is "partial contains small subunit ribosomal RNA, internal transcribed spacer 1, and 5.8S ribosomal RNA". The record is from RNAcentral.
UCUCCGUUGGUGAACCAGCGGAGGGAUCAUUACCGAGUUUACAACUCCCAAACCCAAUGUGAACCAUACCAGACUGUUGCCUCGGUGGGGUCACGCCCCGGGUGCGUCGCAGCCCCGGAACCAGGCGCCCGCCGGAGGGACCAACCAAACUCUUUCUGUAGUCCCCUCGCGGACGUUAUUUUUACAGCUCUGAGCAAAAAUUCAAAAUGAAUCAAAACUUUCAACAACGGAUCUCUUGGUUCUG